This 859-nucleotide ribosomal RNA is filed under the name uncultured organism. RNAcentral's name for it is "bacterial SSU rRNA". It matches the Rfam family "Archaeal small subunit ribosomal RNA", at positions 477 to 1338 of the family's 1478-position model. The record is from RNAcentral.
CAGCUCCCUGAGUGGUGGGGAUUAUUAUUGGGCUUAAAGCGUUCGUAGCCGGUCUGAUUAGUCCCGCGUCAAAUCCAGCGACCUAAUCGUUGGAUUGCGGGGGAUACGGUCGGGCUUGGGAGCGGAAGAGGUUAGCGGUAUUCCCGGGGUAGGGGCGAAAUCCUGUAAUCCCGGGAGGACCACCGGUGGCGAAGGCGGCUAACCAGAACGCGUCUGACGGUGAUGGACGAAAGCUGGGGGAGCGAACCGGAUUAGAUACCCGGGUAGUCCCAGCCGUAAACGAUGCGGGCUAGCUGUUGGGGUGGCCACGAGCCACCCCGGUGGCGCAGGGAAACCGUUAAGCCCGCCGCCUGGGGAGUACGAUCGCAAGAUUGAAACUUAAAGGAAUUGGCGGGGGAGCACCACAAGGGGUGAAGCUUGCGGUUUAAUUGGAGUCAACGCCGGGAAUCUUACCGGGGCUGACAGCAGAGUGAAGGCCAGAUUGAAGGUCUUGCCGGACAAGCUGAGAGGUAGCGCAUGGCGGUCUUCAGUUCGUGCCGUGAGGUGUCCUGUUAAGUCAGGUAACGAUCGAGACCCGCGCCCUUAGUUGCCACCGGAUCCGCUGGGAUUCGAGCACUCUCAGGGAACUGCCACUGAUAAAGUGGAGGAAGGAGCGGUCAAAGGCACGUCAGUAUGCUCCGAAUGCCCCGGGCCACACGCGAGCUGCAAUGGUGGGGACAACGAGUUGCAACCCUGAGAGGGGAAGCUAAUCUCUAAACCCUAUCGUAGUUGGGAUCGAGGGCUGUAACUCGCCCUCGUGAACAUGGAAUCCCUAGUAACCGCGCGUCAUCACCGCGCGGUGAAUACGUCCCCGCUCCUU